UUCAUAUCGGACAUUUGACAGCGGACAUGUUCAGUGGACAGAGCUAGACAAGUAGUUCGGGGAAUAUAAAUAAUUGUUGUUGCCAAGCUAGUCAACUACAGUAUGUCGUAUUGACGACUCUUACCAAUGUCUCAUCUUUAGACCCUUGACCCAUUGUUGGGGGUCUUGAAUGUCUUAAAUAUACUUAAAAGAAAUGAAAUAAAUGUUCAUGAAGAACG
Molecule: long non-coding RNA, 218 nt
Organism: Mizuhopecten yessoensis (Yesso scallop)
Lineage: Eukaryota; Metazoa; Mollusca; Bivalvia; Pectinida; Pectinidae
Exons: 3
Source: RefSeq, a predicted model, not a curated record